This 74-nucleotide transfer RNA is filed under the name Otolemur garnettii (small-eared galago). It matches the Rfam family "tRNA". Rfam says of the family: Transfer RNA (tRNA) molecules are approximately 80 nucleotides in length. Their secondary structure includes four short double-helical elements and three loops (D, anti-codon, and T loops). The record is from Rfam by way of RNAcentral. Lineage: Eukaryota; Metazoa; Chordata; Mammalia; Primates; Galagidae.
GUGCCUGUAGCUCAAAGGAGUAGAGUGCUGGCCCCAUAUGCCAGAGGUGGUGGGUUCAAACCCAGCCCUGGCCA